This 455-nucleotide ribosomal RNA is filed under the name uncultured bacterium. Its description in RNAcentral is "bacterial SSU rRNA". It matches the Rfam family "Bacterial small subunit ribosomal RNA", at positions 8 to 456 of the family's 1533-position model. The record is from RNAcentral.
AGAGUUUGAUCCUGGCUCAGAGUGAACGCUGGCGGCGUGCCUAACACAUGCAAGUCGAACGAGAACGGAUUACAGCUUGCUGUAAUUGUCAGCUAAGUGGCGCACGGGUGAGUAAUAUAUAGUUAAUCUGCCCCAAAGAAGAGAAUAAUUGUUGGAAACGACUUGUAAUGCUCUAUAUGCCUUUAAGACAUAAGUUUGCAAGGGAAAUAUUUAUAGCUUUGGGAUGAGACUGUACGGUAUCAGCUAGUUGGUGAGGUAAUGGCUCACCAAGGCUAUGACAUCUAACUGGUUUGAGAGGAUGAUCAGUCACACUGGAACUGAGACACGGUCCAGACUCCUACGGGAGGCAGCAGUGGGGAAUAUUGCACAAUGGAGGAAACUCUGAUGCAGCAACGCCGCGUGGAGGAUGACACAUUUCGGUGCGUAAACUCCCUUUAUAUGAGAAGAUAAUGACG